This 537-nucleotide ribosomal RNA is filed under the name Enterococcus faecium. RNAcentral describes it as "bacterial SSU rRNA". It matches the Rfam family "Bacterial small subunit ribosomal RNA", at positions 373 to 903 of the family's 1533-position model. The record is from RNAcentral. Lineage: Bacteria; Bacillati; Bacillota; Bacilli; Lactobacillales; Enterococcaceae.
GGACGAAGUCUGACCGAGCACGCCGCGUGAGUGAAGAAGGUUUUCGGAUCGUAAAACUCUGUUGUUAGAGAAGAACAAGGAUGAGAGUAACUGUUCAUCCCUUGACGGUAUCUAACCAGAAAGCCACGGCUAACUACGUGCCAGCAGCCGCGGUAAUACGUAGGUGGCAAGCGUUGUCCGGAUUUAUUGGGCGUAAAGCGAGCGCAGGCGGUUUCUUAAGUCUGAUGUGAAAGCCCCCGGCUCAACCGGGGAGGGUCAUUGGAAACUGGGAGACUUGAGUGCAGAAGAGGAGAGUGGAAUUCCAUGUGUAGCGGUGAAAUGCGUAGAUAUAUGGAGGAACACCAGUGGCGAAGGCGGCUCUCUGGUCUGUAACUGACGCUGAGGCUCGAAAGCGUGGGGAGCAAACAGGAUUAGAUACCCUGGUAGUCCACGCCGUAAACGAUGAGUGCUAAGUGUUGGAGGGUUUCCGCCCUUCAGUGCUGCAGCUAACGCAUUAAGCACUCCGCCUGGGGAGUACGACCGCAAGGUUGAAACUCA